AUUGAACGCUGGCGGCAUGCCUUACACAUGCAAGUCGAACGGUAACAGGUCUUCGGAUGCUGACGAGUGGCGAACGGGUGAGUAAUACAUCGGAACGUGCCUAGUAGUGGGGGAUAACUACUCGAAAGAGUGGCUAAUACCGCAUGAGAUCUACGGAUGAAAGCAGGGGAUCGCAAGACCUUGUGCUACUAGAGCGGCCGAUGGCAGAUUAGGUAGUUGGUGGGAUAAAAGCUUACCAAGCCGACGAUCUGUAGCUGGUCUGAGAGGACGAUCAGCCAAACUGGGACUGAGAAACGGCCCAGACUCCUACGGGAGGCAGCAGUGGGAAUUUUGGACAAUGGGCGCAAGCCUGAUCCAGCAAUGCCGCGUGCAGGAUGAAGGCCUUCGGGUUGUAAACUGCUUUCGUACGGAACGAAAAGCCCCGGGUUAAUACCCUGGGGUCAUGUCGGUACCGUAAGAAUAAGCACCGGCUAACUACGUGCCAGCAGCCGCAGUAA
This 497-nucleotide ribosomal RNA is filed under the name uncultured bacterium. Its description in RNAcentral is "partial 16S ribosomal RNA". It matches the Rfam family "Bacterial small subunit ribosomal RNA", at positions 30 to 523 of the family's 1533-position model. The record is from RNAcentral.